This 243-nucleotide ribosomal RNA is filed under the name uncultured bacterium. RNAcentral describes it as "partial small subunit ribosomal RNA". It matches the Rfam family "Bacterial small subunit ribosomal RNA", at positions 26 to 285 of the family's 1533-position model. The record is from RNAcentral.
AGAAUCAACGCUGGCGGCGUGCCUAACACAUGCAAGUCGCACGAGAAAGGGGAGCAAUCCCUGAGUACAGUGGCGCACGGGUGAGUAACACGUGAAUAAUCUACCUCCGAGUGGGGAAUAACUGAGAGAAAUCUUAGCUAAUACCGCAUAACACUUACGAGUCAAAGCAGCAAUGCGCUUGGAGAGGAGUUCGCGGCCGAUUAGUUAGUUGGCGGGUAAUGGCCCACAAGACGAUGAUCGGUA